Molecule: ribosomal RNA, 253 nt
Filed under: uncultured bacterium
Lineage: Bacteria
Description: partial 16S ribosomal RNA
Rfam family: Bacterial small subunit ribosomal RNA
Source: RNAcentral
UACGAAGGUCCCGAGCGUUGUUCGGAAUCACUGGGCGUAAAGGGAGCGUAGGCGGCGCGGUAAGUCAGAUGUGAAAUCCCGGGGCUCAACCCCGGAACUGCAUCCGAUACUGCCAUGCUAGAGGAUUGGAGAGGUAGCUGGAAUUCUUGGUGUAGCAGUGAAAUGCGUGGAGAUCAAGAGGAACACUCGUGGCGAAAGCGAGCUACUGGACAAUAUCUGACGCUGAGGCUCGAAGGCCAGGGUAGCGAAAGGG